ACCGCUGAGCUAAAUCCCCAGCCCCAUAUAUUCAUUUUUAUAAAAAUAAUAUGUAGGGCUGGGGAUUUAGCUCAGUGGC
RNAcentral lists this microRNA precursor (79 nucleotides) under Cavia porcellus (domestic guinea pig). RNAcentral describes it as "mir-3473 microRNA precursor family". It matches the Rfam family "mir-3473 microRNA precursor family". Lineage: Eukaryota; Metazoa; Chordata; Mammalia; Rodentia; Caviidae. The record is from Rfam by way of RNAcentral.